RNAcentral lists this ribosomal RNA (519 nucleotides) under uncultured eukaryote. Its description in RNAcentral is "bacterial SSU rRNA". It matches the Rfam family "Eukaryotic small subunit ribosomal RNA", at positions 1161 to 1650 of the family's 1831-position model. The record is from RNAcentral.
AGGGCACCACCAGGAGUGGAGCCUGCGGCUUAAUUUGACUCAACACGGGAAAACUUACCUGGUCAGGACACUGGAAGGAUUGACAGAUUGAGAGCUCUUUCUUGAUUCAGUGGGUGGUGGUGCAUGGCCGUUCUUAGUUGGUGGAGCGAUUUGUCUGGUUAAUUCCGAUAACGAACGAGACUCUAGCCUACUAAAUAGACUGCUCAACUUUAUAGCUGCAUCACCUUGCAGUCGCUUCGGUGGCUGUAAGGCUGUGGUGACGUUGGCAGUGCUUCUUAGAGGGACAGGCGGCGGUUCAGCCGCACGAAACAGAGCAAUAACAGGUCUGUGAUGCCCUUAGAUGUCCAGGGCCGCACGCGCGCUACACUGAAGUGAUCAGCGUGCAAUUAACGUUUCCUACUCCGUCAGGAGUGGGUAACCCGUUGAACCUUCUUCGUGAUUGGGAUAGGGGAUUGUAAUUAUUCCCCUUGAACGAGGAAUUCCCAGUAAGCGCAAGUCGUAAGCUUGCGUUGAUUACGU